AAGUCGUAACAAGGUUUCCGUAGGUGAACCUGCGGAAGGAUCAUUACCGAGUAUUGGGUCUUAGUGCCCGCACUCCAACCCUUUGUGUACCUAAAAUUGUUGCUUUGGCGGGCCCGCGGUGUAAUGCCGCUGCUGGCUCACGCUGGUUAGUGCCCGCCAGAGAACCGUUAAACUCUUGUUUAUUCAGUGUCGUCUGAGCAAAAUUUAAUAAUCAAAACUUUCAACAACGGAUCUCUUGGUUCUG
This 244-nucleotide unclassified non-coding RNA is filed under the name air metagenome. RNAcentral describes it as "partial contains small subunit ribosomal RNA, internal transcribed spacer 1, and 5.8S ribosomal RNA". The stretch from base 1 to 46 matches the Rfam family "Eukaryotic small subunit ribosomal RNA", at positions 1786 to 1831 of the family's 1831-position model. The record is from RNAcentral.